UGUUCUGUGGCUUAGUUGGUAAAAGCGCCGGUCUAGCGAAUACGGAGUCGUGGGUUCGAAACCCACCAGAACGC
Non-coding RNA from Aedes albopictus (Asian tiger mosquito), 74 nucleotides. NCBI's taxonomy places the organism in Eukaryota, Metazoa, Arthropoda, Insecta, Diptera, Culicidae. The record is from Rfam.